Molecule: ribosomal RNA, 200 nt
Filed under: uncultured bacterium
Lineage: Bacteria
Description: partial 16S ribosomal RNA
Rfam family: Bacterial small subunit ribosomal RNA
Source: RNAcentral
GCAGGCUGNAACCCGCCUGCAUGAAGUCGGAAUUGCUAGUAAUCGCGGAUCAGCAUGCCGCGGUGAAUACGUUCCCGGGCCUUGUACACACCGCCCGUCACACCAUGGGAGCCGGUAAUACCCGAAGUCAGUAGUCCAACCACGUGAGGACGCUGCCGAAGGUAGGAUUGGCGACUGGGGUGAAGUCGUAACAAGGUAAC